RNAcentral lists this ribosomal RNA (250 nucleotides) under uncultured bacterium. RNAcentral's name for it is "partial 16S ribosomal RNA". It matches the Rfam family "Bacterial small subunit ribosomal RNA", at positions 524 to 773 of the family's 1533-position model. RNAcentral also lists the same sequence under 1 other name. The record is from RNAcentral.
UACGAAGGGGGCUAGCGUUGUUCGGAAUUACUGGGCGUAAAGCGCGCGCAGGCGGUCUUCCAAGUCAGUGGUGAAAGCCCGGAGCUCAACUCCGGAACUGCCAUUGAAACUGUUAGACUUGAGGACGAGAGAGGUGAGUGGAAUUCCCAGUGUAGAGGUGAAAUUCGUAGAUAUUGGGAAGAACACCGGUGGCGAAGGCGGCUCACUGGCUCGUAUCUGACGCUCAGGCGCGAUAGCGUGGGGAUCAAAC